RNAcentral lists this long non-coding RNA (435 nucleotides) under Homo sapiens (human). Its description in RNAcentral is "non-protein coding lnc-RPS25-3:4". The record is from RNAcentral. Lineage: Eukaryota; Metazoa; Chordata; Mammalia; Primates; Hominidae.
AUGGCACCAAAAGCUAAGAAGGAAGCUCCUGCCCCUCCUAAAGCCAAAGCAAGGCUCUGAAGGCCAAGAAGGCAGUGUUGAAAGGUGUCCACAGCCACAAAAAAAAGAAGAUCCGCGUAUCACUAGCCUUCUGGCGGCCCAAGACAUUGCGACUCCGGAGGCAGUGCAAAUAUCUUAAGAGCACCCCCAGGAGAAACAAGCUUGACCACUAUGCAUCAUCAAGUUUCCUCUGACCACUGAGUCUCCAUGAAGAAGACAGAAGACACACGCACUUGUGUUCACUGUGAAUGUUAAGCCACAGCACCAGAGAAGCUCUAUGACACUGAUGUGGCCAAGGUCAACACCCUGAUUCGGCCUGAUGGAGAGAAGGAACAUGUUCGACUGGCUCCUGAUUACAAUGCUUUGGAUGUUGCCAACAAAAUAGGGAUCAUCUCA